UGUUUCUGUUUUUGUUAUUGGAUUUGUUCUGUUGUUUUGAUAACUGAGAGAUUCAAAUGAUGCUAAUUAUUUUCAUGGUUCGAAUGACAAUCGUUGAGUGAUUAUAAACAUUCGUAUUCUUUCAUUAUUGUCUGAUGAACUCUUGGUUAUUUUCUUUUAUUUUUUUAUGCCAUUUUUUAAUUAACUCUUAUUAUUUUAUUGAAAAGAAUGU
RNAcentral lists this long non-coding RNA (211 nucleotides) under Helianthus annuus (common sunflower). RNAcentral describes it as "hypothetical non coding rna". The record is from RNAcentral. Lineage: Eukaryota; Viridiplantae; Streptophyta; Magnoliopsida; Asterales; Asteraceae.